Molecule: long non-coding RNA, 1845 nt
Filed under: Felis catus (domestic cat)
Lineage: Eukaryota; Metazoa; Chordata; Mammalia; Carnivora; Felidae
Description: lncRNA (ENSFCAG00000053307.1)
Source: RNAcentral
AGUCGGGCUUCAUUUCAGGAAGGGAGACUGUUGCCUUACAGGCCUUCAUUUGUUUCCCAACGCAGUCACCCCAUUCGAAACACUGUUUCGUAUUCUAUGUGUAAAACCGGGUUUUUGGCCCAUCGGUUCCCAUGUGAGAUGACCCCCCUCUAACUGGACUCUUUUAUGUAAGGGCCGCUUUGGAUUCCAGAACGACUGGGUCAGAUGAUGGCCCUGCUUGGAAUGGCCCACAUAUUUCUGGGCGUCUGUGUGUCUAUGUUGCCCAGACAUGCUCCUACUUAGCUUUGGUAAUCCUUUCUGGACCGAGGGUGCCAAAGUAAGUAUCAGUCACUCCGUCUCCAACAGCAAUUGUAGAUGGCCCAGGAAAUGUCAGCCCUAGAAAAUAAACAGCCCUAAUAUUAGCUCAGACGUGAGGACAUUUUCCCCCAGCAGGUGUGUGUGUGUGGGGGGGGGGGGGGAAGGCCCUUAAAUUCUCAUGUAUUUUUAAAGUGUGCCUCAUACACUCAAUUCUCCCAGGCGUCACUAAAUGUAUUUUGGUCCAGAAGAGCAGUUAUUACCAUAGCUUUUGCCCGAGGGAUGAGCCAGCAUCCGGCCCUCAGUUCCCCGGGCUCGAGGUGGCCAGCUGUCCCCAGCACGGGGUGAGCGCCCGCAUAUCUCCUCAGCCCACGGUCCCCACUGCCGCCAGGCAGGCAGUGAUUCCAGGGUCACGGUGCAUGGCCACUCCUCCCGCCAGAGAAAAAUGUGCAUGUGGCAGUUGCGGACAGUUCCCCACGCGGACCCCAGGUGUCGUGCUGUCACCAAUGAGCAUCUGCUGUAUACAACAGCGGUGUUGUACGGCACACUGAGUCACAGAGCCUGGACAUCGUCUCCCUGGAGGAAGCCUCCGAAUUCCCCCAGACACCCCUCCUGAGGCCUGGAAAGGUAAGUGAGCUCAAGCUGCCAGGGUCACUGGGCCCUGGGUGCCUGGCUGAAGAGGGGGGGUGGGGUACGGCAGGCUGCACAGGCCCCAGGUGACUCGGAACCGCCCAUCCCUUCCUGUGGGCUGCCUCCUGGGUGCUCCUUCCUGUGGCCAGUCCUUAGACCGCUACCCGGAGCACCCAGACAGCUCAUCGUCACGGGCUUGGUCUCUAAGUCCCCCUGAUGUGGGACCUCCCUUGGGCCUAUGCAGUCAGGAGAGGCAGCCUGGCGUGAGCGGGAACCGUGGAUCCAGGACAGAAACGCUAGCGUUAAAUCUCCUUGUUUUCUCUGCCUGCACGACGGGACAGUGUCCUGCCCUGCCUGUCUCUAGGUUCCACGUGCAGGCCGUUUGGGUUAAUGUUGUCAUCCUAACACCUUACAGACAGUCGUGAAUGCCCAAGUCGCUUACAUGCUUCCUUCCCUCUUGGGUAAAUAAUCCCAAACCCUUGCCUUCCAAUCCAGUUCAAGUCCUGUCCCUCUUUCUGCUACAUAUUUUCACGUUCAUGGCCUGUGGAGCUUAAAGCCCUCUCACCAGACAGCCCCUAAGCCAGGCCGGGCCAGCGUGCAGUGGUGGGGAAGGACCUCACCGCGCCUAACAUGGAGGUCCCACAGGGACUCUGGCCAAGAGCUCCCUGCCUUGCUGGCACUCCCUAAGACCCUCUGGUGGGAGCGGCUGCCGCUCUGGACACCCGGCGUUUUCUCUGUCGCCUGUUACUGCCUCCCCUGCCCUCCAUGCCUCCUGCACGGCACCCAAAGGCCGGAGAGUUAGCCAAGCCUCCAGGUGAGGCCAGUGCCUCCCAGCAAUGCAGACACUUGGCUUCGGGAAGGAACAGCCACCCACGUCCUGCCCGUGGGCUUGGUUGAGCCUCCCAGAGAGGCCGCCGGCCU